Long non-coding RNA from Spinacia oleracea (spinach), 987 nucleotides. RefSeq lists it as uncharacterized. The record is from RefSeq and is a predicted model, not a curated record. The transcript is spliced from 5 exons. Lineage: Eukaryota; Viridiplantae; Streptophyta; Magnoliopsida; Caryophyllales; Amaranthaceae.
CUGCUUUCCUUCUCCCCCCUCCCUGCUUCAGUGUUUCCUUCUUCUUUUUUCACUCCCUGUUUGUGUUUCAACAAACCCUAGCUCUCUUAUCCGCCCCUAUUUUCUCUCUCCUCCCAUUCUUCUUUCUCUCUUCUUCAUUGUUCUAUCAAAGAACCGAUUGAUUCAGUGAAGGAUCUACCAAUUUAGUUUAAUUUGAUUUUGCUAUGUAGAACCGAUUGAUUCAGUGAAGGAUCUAUCAAUUUAGAGAUGAAGAGACAUCCUUAUCCAUCAUUUUUUUUAAAGUGGGGUUUGUGUGAUGGGUAUAAGCUGGAUAAUGAUACACAAACAAGAGGUGUUAACUACUUAACCCUAAAUAUAAUGACCUCAAAGCCACUAAUCUCCCUAGAAAUGUGUCGAAUGUUUCAUCCGCCCAGCUUUCAAGUAUAUUAUCGCCUUAUCAGGUGAUCGAUAACACUGACAAAACUAGCACGAACAGAUCAAAAGAUACAUUCCUUGACUGGUUUCUCCACCCAUUUUUAGUUAUGAAAUAACAUAUCAAAGCAGAAAACCGCUCGCCGGCAUUGGGACAUUACCUUGGCAAAUGAGUUUUACUGAAUGGAGAUCCUAAGAGUCUUCAAAGUUUUUGCACUAUAAACACCUUUGAAGAUGAAGCUAAAAGAGCAGAACUUUAGGCACUGGCACGAGCCGCACGAAGGACUGAGUGAGUGAGUGUGGCCGUGGAGACGACCGUAGCUGCUACCCAUACACCUGUGAUCAAAUGUACUUACCAUCCUCAUUCCUGAAUCAUGUAUUACGAAUAUAGGUGGUUCUCUUUUCUGUCAAAUAUGAUUGUGCUGUGAAUUGAAUAAAUAGCCAUGGCGUCUUCAGUUCUGGUGUAUAUCUAGAACUGUUGAUGUUUCAUGGUUCAACGAUUUGUGAAUGUAAUUAUGUACUGAUUGUUGAAAGAAAGAUCUACUAUUAUUCUAUUAAGCUGAUUAUUAUGGUGUA